This 466-nucleotide long non-coding RNA is filed under the name Nicotiana benthamiana. RNAcentral describes it as "long non-coding RNA (NBEN_LNC020244)". The record is from RNAcentral. Lineage: Eukaryota; Viridiplantae; Streptophyta; Magnoliopsida; Solanales; Solanaceae.
AAGCCCUCGCGUUUGCGUGCAGAGAAUCAGGUUCGUGAUGAACAAUUUUGAUUGCCCCUCCCCUAAACCCAAUGCGUUCGCGAGUGGACGGACGUAUUCGCGAAAGGUCUCCCCCCUUAGCUUCUCUUUCGCAUCCAAUCAUUUGCAUUCGCGAAGAAGAACCUGAACUUACGGAUUUUUGCCUUACACAUUUGCGAGUGAGACUACGCGAACGCAAAGUACAAAUUCCAUGUGCACUUACUGUAGAAAAUCUGCAACACUUACUAAAGUCUAAAACUUUUUGAAUCACAUCUGAAACACACCAGAGCCCUCGGGUCUUCUAACCAAACAUACGUACCAAUUGAACAAUAUCAUACGAACUUAUCCAUGUGAUCUAAUUGCAAAAAUCACCUCAAAAACAAUUAACUAAACCUAAAAAUCAAGAAUUUUUCUCAAAUUUCUUCAAGUAUCAAAUUAGCAAUUCAAA